AGAGUUUGAUCCUGGCUCAGGAUGAACGCUGGCGGCGUGCCUAAUACAUGCAAGUCGAACGAGAACGACGGUAUUUAUAUCGUCUAGUAAAGUGGCGGACGGGUGAGUAACACGUGGAUGACCUACCCCGAAGAGCGGGACAACCUGUGGAAACACGGGCUAAUACCGCAUAAGCUCACGGCUUUUAGAAACAUGUGAGAAAAACUCCGGUGCUUCGGGAGGGGUCUGCGGCCCAUCAGCUAGUUGGUGAGGUAAUGGCUCACCAAGGCAGAGACGGAUAGGGGGCCUGAGAGGGUGAUCCCCCACACGGGAACUGAGACACGGUCCCGACUCCUACGGGAGGCAGCAGUAAGGAAUAUUGCACAAUGGGCGAAAGCCUGAUGCAGCAACGCCGCGUGCCUGAUGAAGGCCUUCGGGUCGUAAAAGGCUUUUCUGGCUGAAGAGGAUGGACAGUAGGCCAGGAAUAAGCGUCGGCUAACUACGUGCCAGCAGCCGCGGUAAAACGUAGGACGCAAGCGUUAUCCGGAUUUACUGGGCGUAAAGCGCAGGCAGGCGGCAAAGAAAGUCGGAUGUGAAAUCUCCUGGCUCAACUGGGAGAGGCCAUUCGAAACUACUUAGCUAGAGGACAGCAGAGGAACACGGAAUUCCGGGUGGAGUGGUGAAAUGCGUAGAUAUCCGGAGGAACACCAGAGGCGAAGGCGGUGUUCUGGGCUGUACCUGACGCUGAACUGCGAAAGCGUGGGUAGCGAACGGGAUUAGAAACCCCGGUAGUCCACGCUGUAAACGAUGUCCGCUAGGUGUUGGGCUUAAAGCUCAGCGUCGAAGCAAACGCGAUAAGCGGACCGCCUGGGGAGUACGGCCGCAAGGCUAAAACUCAAAGGAAUUGACGGGGGCCCGCACAAGCAGCGGAGCGUGUGGUUUAAUUCGAGGCAACGCGAAGAACCUUACCUGGGUUUGACAUAUGAGUGGUACCAAACUGAAAAGGGCGGGACCUUCGGGAGCUCAUACAGGUGCUGCAUGGCUGUCGUCAGCUCGUGCCGUGAGGUGUUCGGUUAAGUCCGCAAACGAGCGCAACCCCUAUUGCCAGUUACAAGUGUCUGGCGAGACUGCCGGCUUCAAGUUGGAGGAAGGUGGGGAUGACGUCAAGUCAGCAUGGCCUUUAUAUCCAGGGCUACACACACGCUACAAUGGCCGGUACAAAGGGCAGCGAAGCCGCAAGGUGGAGCGAAUCUCACAAAGCCGGUCUCAGUUCGGAUUGCAGGCUGCAAUUCGCCUGCAUGAAGUCGGAGUUGCUAGUAACCGUGCGUCAGCACAGCGCGGUGAAUACGUUCCCGGGCCUUGUACACACCGCCCGUCACGUCAUGGAAGCUGGUAACACCUGAAGUCGGUGGGCUAACCUUUACGGGGGGCCGCUGCCUAGGGUGGGACUGGUGACUGGGACGAAGUCGUAACAAGGUA
This 1458-nucleotide ribosomal RNA is filed under the name metagenome. Its description in RNAcentral is "bacterial SSU rRNA". It matches the Rfam family "Bacterial small subunit ribosomal RNA". The record is from RNAcentral.